Molecule: long non-coding RNA, 200 nt
Filed under: Lathyrus oleraceus (garden pea)
Lineage: Eukaryota; Viridiplantae; Streptophyta; Magnoliopsida; Fabales; Fabaceae
Description: Pisum sativum (pea) long non-coding RNA (PSAT_LNC008508)
Source: RNAcentral
GGCAAAGAUGGGAAUUAAUUUGAAAAUAUGGUUCUGGCAGGAAUCGAACCCGGUGCAGAUCAAAAAUACGCUAAACAAAAAUAAAAUACCAAAAUGAUGGAGCUGGGAAUCGAAGCGUGUUACUGGCUAAAACGAUGCAGUUUCAUUAAUGAAGUGGCGUGUCCAGUCACCGGUCAAUGCAAACGUGGACGAGGUCAAAG